CAGCCGUAAACUAUGCGCGUUAGGUGUACUGGUGACCACGAGUCACCGGGGUGCCGAAGGGAAACCGUGAAACGUGCCGCCUGGGAAGUACGGUCGCAAGGCUGAAACUUAAAGGAAUUGGCGGGGGAGCACCACAACAGGUGGAGCCUGCGGUUUAAUUUGGACUCAACGCCGGGAAGCUCACCGGAUAGGACAGCAGAAUGAUUGCCGGGCUGAAGACCCUGCAUGACUAGCUGAGAGGAGGUGCAUGGCGUCAGUGACU
Molecule: ribosomal RNA, 262 nt
Filed under: uncultured archaeon
Lineage: Archaea
Description: partial 16S ribosomal RNA
Rfam family: Archaeal small subunit ribosomal RNA
Source: RNAcentral